GAUGAACGCUGGCGGCGUGCCUAAUACAUGCAAGUCGAGCGAACAGACGAGGAGCUUGCUCCUUUGACGUUAGCGGCGGACGGGUGAGUAACACGUGGGUAACCUACCUAUAAGACUGGGAUAACUUCGGGAAACCGGAGCUAAUACCGGAUAAUAUUUCGAACCGCAUGGUUCGAUAGUGAAAGAUGGCUUUGCUAUCACUUAUAGAUGGACCUGCGCCGUAUUAGCUAGUUGGUAAGGUAACGGCUUACCAAGGCAACGAUACGUAGCCGACCUGAGAGGGUGAUCGGCCACACUGGAACUGAGACACGGUCCAGACUCCUACGGGAGGCAGCAGUAGGGAAUCUUGCGCAAUGGGCGAAAGCCUGACGGAGCAACGCCGCGUGAGUGAUGAAGGUCUUCGGGUCGUAAAACUCUGUUAUUAGGGAAGAACAAAAGUGUAAGUAACUGUGCACGUCUUGACGGUACCUAAUCAGAAAGCCACGGCUAACUACGUG
RNAcentral lists this ribosomal RNA (497 nucleotides) under uncultured bacterium. Its description in RNAcentral is "partial 16S ribosomal RNA". It matches the Rfam family "Bacterial small subunit ribosomal RNA", at positions 28 to 507 of the family's 1533-position model. The record is from RNAcentral.